GGACCCAUAGCUCAACUUGGUUAGAGUGCCUGUAUGACAUGCAGGAGGUUGAAAGUUCAAGUCUUUCUGGGUCCACCA
RNAcentral lists this transfer RNA (78 nucleotides) under Gammaproteobacteria bacterium. RNAcentral's name for it is "tRNA-Val". It matches the Rfam family "tRNA". From Rfam's summary of the family: Transfer RNA (tRNA) molecules are approximately 80 nucleotides in length. Their secondary structure includes four short double-helical elements and three loops (D, anti-codon, and T loops). The record is from RNAcentral. RNAcentral also lists the same sequence under 1 other name. Lineage: Bacteria; Pseudomonadati; Pseudomonadota; Gammaproteobacteria.